Molecule: ribosomal RNA, 468 nt
Filed under: uncultured bacterium
Lineage: Bacteria
Description: partial 16S ribosomal RNA
Rfam family: Bacterial small subunit ribosomal RNA
Source: RNAcentral
GACGAACGCUGGCGGCGUGCUUAACACAUGCAAGUCGAACGGAAAGGCCCUGCCUUUGUUGGGGGCUCUAGUGGCGAACGGGAGAGUAACGCAUGAGUAACCUGCCCUGCACUGUGGGAUAACUUCAGGAAGCUGGGGUGAAUACCGGAUAGGAGCGCCUGCUGCUUUGGGGUGGUUGGGAAGUUACGGCGGUGGGUGAUGGAAUCGCGGCUUAUCAGCCUAUUGGUGGGGUAGUGGCUUACCAGGGUACUGACGGGUCGCCGGCCUGCGAGGGUGACCGGCCACAGUGGGAACGAGAUAGGGCCGAGGCUCCUACGGGAGGCAGAAGUGGGGAAUAUUGCAGAAUGGGCGGAGGCGUGAUGCAGAAACGCCGCGUGCGGGAUGAAGGCCUUCGGGUUGUAAACCGAUUUCGCCUGUGACGAAGCGUGAGUGACGGUAAUGGGUAAAGAAGCACCGGCUAACUACGUG